This 548-nucleotide ribosomal RNA is filed under the name Penicillium expansum. RNAcentral's name for it is "eukaryotic LSU rRNA". The stretch from base 209 to 361 matches the Rfam family "5.8S ribosomal RNA". The record is from RNAcentral. Lineage: Eukaryota; Fungi; Ascomycota; Eurotiomycetes; Eurotiales; Aspergillaceae.
CCUUCCGUAGGUGAACCUGCGGAAGGAUCAUUACCGAGUGAGGGCCCUUUGGGUCCAACCUCCCACCCGUGUUUAUUUACCUCGUUGCUUCGGCGGGCCCGCCUUAACUGGCCGCCGGGGGGCUCACGCCCCCGGGCCCGCGCCCGCCGAAGACACCCCCGAACUCUGCCUGAAGAUUGUCGUCUGAGUGAAAAUAUAAAUUAUUUAAAACUUUCAACAACGGAUCUCUUGGUUCCGGCAUCGAUGAAGAACGCAGCGAAAUGCGAUACGUAAUGUGAAUUGCAAAUUCAGUGAAUCAUCGAGUCUUUGAACGCACAUUGCGCCCCCUGGUAUUCCGGGGGGCAUGCCUGUCCGAGCGUCAUUGCUGCCCUCAAGCCCGGCUUGUGUGUUGGGCCCCGUCCUCCGAUUCCGGGGGACGGGCCCGAAAGGCAGCGGCGGCACCGCGUCCGGUCCUCGAGCGUAUGGGGCUUUGUCACCCGCUCUGUAGGCCCGGCCGGCGCUUGCCGAUCAACCCAAAUUUUUAUCCAGGUUGACCUCGGAUCAGUAGG